This is a long non-coding RNA of Oncorhynchus tshawytscha (Chinook salmon), 458 nucleotides long. NCBI's taxonomy places the organism in Eukaryota, Metazoa, Chordata, Actinopteri, Salmoniformes, Salmonidae. The record is from Ensembl.
GAUGGGGGAGGUGGACAGGGGAAAAUGGGGGAGGUGGACAGGGUUAGGGGAAGAUGGGGAAGGUGGACAGGGGAAGAUGGAGGAGGUGGACAGGGUCUGGGGAAGAUGGGGGAGGUGGACAGGGUUAGGGGAAGAUGGGGAAGUUGGACAGGGGAAGAUGGAGGAGGUGGACAGGGUGAGGGGAAGAUGGGGAAGGUGGACAGGGUUAGGGGAAGAUGGGGGAGGUGGACAGGGUUAGGGGAAGAUGGGGGAGGUGGACCGGGUUAAGAAAAUAUGGGUGAGGUGGACAGGGUUAGGGGAAGAUGGAGGGAGGUGGACAGGGGAAGAUGGGGGAGGUGGACAGGGGAAGAUGGAGGAGGUGGACAGGGUUAGGGGAAGAUGGGGAAGGUGGACAGGGGAAGAUGGAGGAGGUGGACAGGGUUAGGGGAAGAUGGGGAAGGUGGACAGGGGAAGAUGGA